AAAAUAGCAUCUUUCUAAGUUUAUCCUUUGAAAAUUUUAUUUUUUUUAUUUUUCAAAAUUUGAAAUCUUAUCCCCAAAACCUCAAUUCUCAACUCUAAACCCUAAACCCUAAACUCUAAACCGUAAAUCCUAAACUCUAAACCCUAAACCUUAAACAAUAAACCCUAAACCCUAAACCCUAAACCCUAAACCCUAAAAUCUAAACCCUAAACCCUAAAUCCUAAACAUCACCCUUUAACUCUA
RNAcentral lists this long non-coding RNA (243 nucleotides) under Brassica napus (rape). RNAcentral describes it as "long non-coding RNA (BNAP_LNC017708)". The record is from RNAcentral. Lineage: Eukaryota; Viridiplantae; Streptophyta; Magnoliopsida; Brassicales; Brassicaceae.